CUGAAGGUGGCAGGAGAAGAUAAAACCAAAAUUCAGGGUUUGCUUUUUAAAUACCAUGCUAGUAAAAUCAGAACAGUAAUGACGGGAACCAAAAGAUCUAUCUGAAAUGUUCCUAAGACAGAUGUGAGGACGCACAAUGUAAACGUUAUGCAGCAGCUUUGGGAGAGGCUUUUUAUGGCUCUGUUUCUUUCCACUCACAGCACAGACUCGAGAAAUGUAGGGAACUCGAGAGCAGCCACUCGGCCCCAGGAUCAACCCAGCACCGAAGAAAAACAACCAGAAGAAAUUAUUCUUCAGCCUGAAAUGAAGCCGGGAUCAAAUGGUUGCUGAUCAGAGCCCAUAUUUAAAUUGGAAAAGUCAAAUUGAGCAUUAUUAAAUAAAGCUUGUUUAAUAUGUCUCAAACAGAAA
Molecule: long non-coding RNA, 408 nt
Filed under: Homo sapiens (human)
Lineage: Eukaryota; Metazoa; Chordata; Mammalia; Primates; Hominidae
Description: HSALNT0387549
Source: RNAcentral